GGAGGGAUGGCCGAGCGGUUUAAGGCGCACGCUUGGAAAGCGUGUAUACGGGCAACCGUAUCGAGGGUUCGAAUCCCUCUCCCUCCG
RNAcentral lists this transfer RNA (87 nucleotides) under Alphaproteobacteria bacterium GM202ARS2. RNAcentral describes it as "tRNA-Ser". It matches the Rfam family "tRNA". From Rfam's summary of the family: Transfer RNA (tRNA) molecules are approximately 80 nucleotides in length. Lineage: Bacteria; Pseudomonadati; Pseudomonadota; Alphaproteobacteria. The record is from RNAcentral.